This is a long non-coding RNA of Oryzias melastigma (Indian medaka), 4424 nucleotides long. RefSeq lists it as uncharacterized. NCBI's taxonomy places the organism in Eukaryota, Metazoa, Chordata, Actinopteri, Beloniformes, Adrianichthyidae. The transcript has 2 exons. The record is from RefSeq and is a predicted model, not a curated record.
AAGAUUGAUAAAAUCCUUGAAGAAAAAGUUCUAUGUUGUGGGGUCCAGAUGAACCCACUUGUGAUGUAAAUAUGCCUAUGAUAGCACAAUUGUUACACUGCCAACGGUCCUGAUCUGAACCUAAUAAGAAACCCUGUCGCAUGAGCUAUAGGGAACAUACAAGUGAGCCCAUCUCAUGGAACAUCAGCAUUUGACGCCACAAAUGAGCUUCUAGAACAGUCAAACAUUCUCAAAUACUCCUAAACCUGGGAAAAGACUUCCAGAGAAGCUACAGAGUGGAAUGACAUCAAAUUAAACAGGUUAUAAAUGGGAAGUCACUUUAGUUCAUGUGUGUAAAGGCAGAUGAGCGAAUACUCCAGCAAAAGUACUUUAAAAGAAAAGUCUGCCAAAUGACUGUAUAAAUGUAAUGUUAGGGUGACCUAUAAGAGAAGGUUAGAUACUUGAGCUUUAAUUAAGAGCAGCUGUCUCACCAAAAGCGCUUUCUCAUUUUUUCUUUCUUUCUUUCUUUCUUUUUUUUUGGGUAAAGUUGUGGAAGCCUUUUGAAGAGAAGUAGAUUCAUCUUUAUGAACUAUAUAACAUUUCUAGUCAUCUGAUUUUGAUUCAAACAGUUGAAAAUGUUCUGAAAAGUUGACGAGCCUCGACAAAAACGAAGCUAAAUGAAGUUAAGUGCACUGCUUUUAAUGUUUGGUUGUUUUCUUACAUCGUGAUACUUAAUCACUCAUUUACAUCCUUUCAUUUUCCAGGUUUAAUGUCGUUCAGGGUCACAGGGUUGCUGGAGCUAAUCCCAGCAACGGUUGACUGAAAGCAAGGUUCACCUUUGAUAGAUUGCCAGUUUUUUUAAGCGCAUUUAUGUAACUGUUCAUUCAAUCAUUUUAUAUUUUUCAUGCAUGUCAUUCUUUUUUGUCUGGAACACACAAAAAAACAUGUUUUUAUAAUGCAGGCAAGCAGUUUUUUUCUUUUUUUAAUAUAAAUUUGAUCUUCAAGCAGCAUGACCAACUACUGUAUGUUCCAAGUUAUUAUUGUUCUAGUUACAAACUCGUGUUUAGGCCAAAGUGAUAAUAUAGAAUCUUGAGGCUACAGUAUGUGACCAGAACUUCUUUUUCAGGUGUCCAAUGACACACCCUGCAGCCAAUCAGAUCCAAGUAUUCACCCCGACUGUGGUAUAAAAUGAAUGAAUGAAUGAAUGAAUUAAUUAAUUAAUUUAUGAUGUACUAAAAACAAAACAACCAGACUGACGAAAGGGAUUUCAAAUACGACAAAAACUUGUCGUGAAAAUGACACCAUGAGCCACCUAAAAAACUAAGGACCAGAGCAGGAAUCCAGGCUUUCUGACAGUCUGUCGAUCAUUAAUGUUGACACUUGGUCUACAGGUUGCGGUCUCUACUGAGGUAAUCGGUGUGGGCCGCGGCUGGUCGGACUGCCUCGGUCUCCCAUUGGUGCCACAGGGGAGGUGCUUGGGGGCAGGAGCCGGGAUUUGCCCCAGUGAUUGGCUCCUUCUUGGCUUCUCUCUCCUUGUGUGAGAAUCCAGUCAUUGUAAGGAAAUACAAGACUCUGCAUCCAUCACUGAACAAUUUAGCAGACGACACCUUGUUAGAGCUGAUAAGCAGAGCCAGCUGCUUCCCAAGGGCUGCAGGGAGGCAAGCGUGCAACAAAAUCAGCUACAUCUGUAUAUUUAUUUAAUCUGCAGAGCUAACCAACCGAAGCCGUGUUCAUGAUGUCGGCACUUACAGCUGAGCUGCUCCAGCGACGCUGGACAGCCGCUCAGUCUGCAUGUUCAGCAGGAAGGUGUGUUCUUAUUAUUGGAGGAAUAAUACACGUGCCUUUAACAGAUGCAGAAAAUAUUAUUUAUUCACUAGAAUAUUUUACAUAUUCGAGAAACCUUCUGUCAACAGCUUUUACUGAAAGAGUGCAAAUGAGUUUAUUUUCUUGGAAAGACAUUUGUAACUUAAUGUUGUUUUACUUUUGCAUAUAAAUCUGCUGGAAUUUAGCUGAAAUGAUCUGCAGUAGUUCCAAGGGGUUUGUAAAAUAAAUAGAAGAAUGAAAGAAAACAUGUAAAAAUGUCAAAUAUCUAAAAGAAAAUAAUAAAAGUUGAAAUCACCAUUUAAACUUUUUUUUCCUAUUUUUUUUUUACUUUUUAUGUUUAUGUUGGGAUAAAAAUGUUGUUUAGGGUAUUCAGCUGUGUUCUAUAUCCCAUAGAAGUAAAAUGAAAGUCACAUAUGUGUUUAUUCAUUUCAAUAUCACUCUUGCAAAGUCACGUGGGUAAUUUGAAAUCACGCGUGUGCUUUUAUUUUACACUUCCAAAGUAAACUUCUUGAGAACGUGCAAAAAAGACUCACUUGUGGGAAAAACCAUCCACAAAUGCUGCACACUGACCGAUCUCUUGAUUCCCAUACACACAAGUCUUCCCCCUGCAGGUAAUAUAUAUAUAUAUAUAUAUAUAUAUAUAUAUAUUCCUAAUGUUGCAUUCACACUGAGUGGGAUCUGCACGUCAAAUUCAUGUCGGCCGCCUCCCCAUUCGUCACAUGGUGAAUUUGAUGCGGUCCAAAAAUGUUUUCUUCCCCGGCCACGUGUUGAAGGAUGUUUUCAACCUAAUUGCUACUUAGAGUGUAUUAGAGUAUCUGUGUUUAUCUCAUUUAUAAUGCAUGGAAGACACCAAUGAUGUUUAGAGAUCAGUUUUAUUUAUUUCAAAGAGGUCUAAAAGCAUAUUAUUAGCCUAAUCAUGUCUCCAUGUUUGGGUUCAGGAUCAUUCAGAGGUUCUCUUGGUACUAAGAGCUUCACUCCCGCUGUGUCUGGAUGAUGGUCGCUGUGGUGUUGUGACUGAGCCUUGCUGUCCCGGAUUAAAGCUAGAGGUAUGAAAAUGAAAAUAAGAAAAAUAUUCAAAGUUCAGGAGGCCCAGGCAGGCAGCCUCUCCACCCCGCAGCGGCUCUCUGUCUGCUAGCCUAGAGAGCGAGCGAGCUCUAUUGACACCAGCGGCGGCUCUCCACGGGCAUGACAGACUGACAGCCUGUCAAGGGUGUAUCCUGCCUUCGUCCAACAGCAGCCGGAAUGGGCUCGGCCACCCCACGGCCCUACCGGGCUUAAGGGAUAGAUUGAAGUUCAGGACAAAAAACUUGGAUUGGUAUUCUACCCCCUGAUUGAGUCAUUGAAAACGUCAUGUCCCUAAAGUUGAGUCCCUGAUUGGUAGACACACCACGGCGACCUUGCCAAAAUUUAGAUUAUUAAACUUUCACCAUGUCGCUCAAAUCGCACUGCUCAAAUGACCCUGUAGAACCUCAGAUCCUGUCUGCACCAUUGACUUAACAUUAAAAUUGGCGCCUGUGCCCUGCAAAUUGUGUUCGGUGUGAACAUAACAUAAGAAACACCAAACGUUACACCAAGGUGUUCAGGGAAAAUCUACAUCACUGCAAAUCAGCAUCUGUAACCCUUUAACACCGGAGACGUCUCUGGCGACUCCUAAAUAAUUCACGCUCUUUGACAUACUGUAAUUCUUCUUGUGUUUGGGCAGCUUUUUGUUUGGCAUCAACAUGCAACAUGUUAGUAAAGUGUUGCAUAACUGUGCAAAGCUCCUUUACUUGAGAAUCUGCCGGAAUUAUGGUAAUAGCAUAAAUGGUUGAAGAGUGACAGUAGUGAGAAGAAUGUGAACAUUGGAGUUAAAGUUCCAGUGUUAAAGGCUUAAGCUUUACAUAAAGUCCCUUGUGUCAAAAAAAAAAAAAACAAAAAAAACUACAAAGGUGACAUAGCAACUAUGACUGAAAUGAAGUCACAUGUCUAACUUCCACAUGUAGCAGAGUGCAUUUCUGUGUGUGAGACACUGAUUCGGACCUUAAAGGAGAAACACUGACCCCAUUCUCUUCAAUCACCACCGGUGCUGUUGACCUAUGGGUGCUGAUGGAAAUGUGACGUUUAUGCAUGAAAAGGAAGAAAGGGAAGAAAGUAAAGACAAAGGUGUUUGUCAUGGUGCCUCUGUCAGUCUCCUCCCCCUCGCCUCUCCACCCCACUGCUGAUUAUCCCCAGCUGCGACCACUCACCUCAUCACCUCGUCUGCCUUUUUAAGGAGCUCCAGGAUCAUCAUUCCUCGCCAGUCCGUUGCCCCUGAUGGUGCAUAGUUGGUCACCUCUCCUAGUCACAGUCUUGCCAUGUGUUUGUCAAGACUCUGUCUUAUGCCUUUUCUACUCAUCCUCAGGAAUCUGUUACCACGAGUGGUCGCGAAUAUCAGCCUCAACCCGGAUCCCCAGUUUGGUCUUCUCUCCAGCGGUAACACCACGAGCCUCUGCCUCUGUUCCGUGGACCUUCGCCCAAGACGGCCAUCCCUUCCUGUGGUGGAACCUACCAGUGACGCCACCAGCCUCAGCCUCUCGCCUGGAAUCUACCACCAGCCCUGCUCACGCCCUACCUUACCUAAUCAUUAAAUCCUUUACCUGCCA